RNAcentral lists this long non-coding RNA (542 nucleotides) under Lupinus angustifolius (narrow-leaved blue lupine). RNAcentral's name for it is "long non-coding RNA (LANG_LNC003635)". Lineage: Eukaryota; Viridiplantae; Streptophyta; Magnoliopsida; Fabales; Fabaceae. The record is from RNAcentral.
CUCGAUACCAAUAUUAAUUGGAGAAGAAUGUGAACUGAUGUAUUUCAUUGCACCAAAUCACAGUCUUAAAAUAGACAAAUAAAGAGAUAUUACAAUCAGUUUUAAGAUUGCACAUAAUAACUUCCCAUAAAGUGGAGGUAACUUGUUAAACUAAUCACUUAACCACUAACACAACACAUAAACUCAAUAAAAUAUAAAAAAAAUAUCUAACAUCUUGUUCAUUAAAUCAUGGAUGCCUAGCGCAAUUGUUGCGUAGUGAUGGUAAUUAGGUAGAUGAUAAUGAACCACAGAGAUAACAUCAAGUGAGUUGUUGUAGCAAUUAAAAUUUCUGUAGCCCAACUCCUAAGUCAAAUGAAGCUCGUGCCACAAUACCAUGAGCUCACAUAUAGAUUACAAGCAAUACCAGCUGAUCUAUUAAAACUUGCAAUCCAAUUCUCAUCACUGUUGCGAAGGAGGUCACCAUGGUCUGCCUUCCCUUGGUUUCCCAAGGAACUCCCAUCCGCAUUCAGAACAAUGAAGUCACUACACGGUUUAAUCCGUUG